UACGAAGGGGGCUAGCGUUGCUCGGAAUCACUGGGCGUAAAGGGUGCGUAGGCGGGUCUUUAAGUCAGGGGGGAAAUCCUGGAGCUCAACUCCAGAACUGCCUUUGAUACUGAAGAUCUUGAGUUCGGGAGAGGUGAGUGGAACUGCGAGUGUAGAGGUGAAAUUCGUAGAUAUUCGCAAGAACACCAGUGGCGAAGGCGGCUCACUGGCCCGAUACUGACGCUGAGGCACGAAGGCCAGGGGAGCAAACGGG
This 253-nucleotide ribosomal RNA is filed under the name uncultured bacterium. RNAcentral describes it as "partial 16S ribosomal RNA". It matches the Rfam family "Bacterial small subunit ribosomal RNA", at positions 524 to 776 of the family's 1533-position model. The record is from RNAcentral.